UGGUUCGUUCCAUGAUGAGUCGAGCUACGCUACCAAUCUCAUUCUGGGGGUAUGCCUUAGAGACUGCCGCCCAUAUUCUUAAUCUAGUCCCUACAAAGAAAGUUGCCAAAACUCCUCACGAGAUGUGGACUGGUAAAGUACCUAAACUAGACCACAUCAAGAUUUGGGGUUGCGAGGCUUUCGUGAGACGCGAGACUCAUGAUAAGCUCGAACCUCGAAGCGAGAGGUGUAUUUUCAUCGGUUACCCACAGCGAUCCUUUGGUUACCUCUUCUACAGACCUAGUGACAAUGUGGUCUUUGUAGCAAGAAGAGGAGUCUUUCGAGAAAGAGAGUUUAUAAGCCAAGGAGACAGUGGGAGGCAAAUUGAUCUUGAAGAAAUUCAAGAAUCAAGCGGUGAAGGAACUUCAAACUCUAGCCCUCAACUUGAGGAGGAAACUCCUGUUGAGCCAAUUGACAAAUCUGUACCUCUGAGACGUUCCACGAGAGUUAGGAGUGCACCUGAGCAUUACUAUGGAUUCCAUAUUACUGCAGAAGGUGAGACACUUAUUAGUGAUGAGACACUAGUAAGUCAAGAUGACCCUAACAGCUACGAGGAAGCCAUGGCAGGCCCCGAGUCUGCUAAAUGGAAAGAGGCUAUGGAUAGCGAGAUACAAUCCAUGUAUGACAAUCAAGUUUGGAACUUGGUUGAAAAUGUACCAGGUCGUAAGACAGUAGGGUGCAAAUGGGUCUUCAAGAAGAAGACCGACAUGGAUGGUAAAGUACACACUUAUAAGGCUAGACUGGUUGCAAAGGGCUUCUCUCAAAUUCCUGGAGUGGAUUAUGAUGAGACCUUUUCUCCGGUAGCCAAGAUUAAGUCUAUUCGGGUUCUGUUAGCCAUAGCUGCAUUUCAUGACUAUGAAAUAUGGCAGAUGGAUGUCAAAACCGCUUUCCUUAAUGGAAAGUUGGCUGAAGAUGUUUACAUGAGUCAGCCAGAGGGUUUUGUCAGCAACGAGUACCCUAAUAGAGUGUGUAAGCUUGAGAAAUCCAUUUAUGGAUUGAAGCAAGCACCUCGCAGAUGGAAUCUUUGCUUUGAUGAAAAGGUCAAGGAAUUUGGCUUUUCUAGGAGUGAAGAUGAAUCUUGUGUGUAUGUCAAGGCUAGUGGGAGUAUAGUUAGCUUUUUGGUAUUGUAUGUGGAUGACAUACUACUCAUAGGAAACGACAUUCCAACCCUGCAGGAAGUAAAGUCCUGGCUUGGGAAGUGUUUCGCUAUGAAGGACCUUGGUGAAGCUGCCUAUAUUCUAGGGAUAAGAAUCUUGAGAGAUCGGAGUAAAAGACUAAUUGGACUUAGUCAGAGUACCUACUUGGAUAAGGUGCUGAAGAGAUUCAGCAUGCAGGAUUCCAAGAAAGGAGAGUUACCCAUCCAGAGUAACACCAGAUUGAGUAAGACACAAAGCCCUAGCACUGAGGCUGAGAUAGCAGAAAUGAGUCGAACACCUUACGCUUCGGCUGUAGGAUCGAUCAUGUAUGCUAUGACGUGUACUCGACCCGAUGUAGCUUUUGCCUUGAGCAUGGUUAGCAGGUAUCAGGCGAACCCUGGCAAGGCACACUGGACUGCGGUAAAGAAUAUCCUCAAGUACCUACGGAGGACUAAGGACUGGGUCCUUACCCUCGGUGGGAGUGAUGACUUGAGAGUUGUAGGGUAUAGUGAUGCUAGCUUCCAGACUGAUAGGGAUAAUUUCCGCUCUCAGUCGGGCUGGGUCUUUACCCUAAACGGAGGAGCAAUUUCUUGGAAGAGUUCCAAGCAAGAGACAGUGGCAGAUUCUACUUGUGAAUCAGAGUAUAUUGCAGCUAGUGAAGCAGCAAAGGAGGCGAUAUGGCUGAAGAACUUCAUUGGAGACCUUGGAGUUGUACCAGCUAUUAAAGAGCCAAUGGAAAUUUUCUGUGAUAGUGAAAGUGCUGUUGCCUUAGCCAAGGAACCAAGGGAUCAUGGGAGAUCCAGACACAUCGACAGAAAAUACCAUUUCAUUAGACAUCGGAUCGAAGAAGGACUCCUCGUGGCAAAGAGGGUAUCAUCGGAUGAGAACCCAGCAGAUCCCCUCACGAAGGGACUGAGUAGGGUUAAGCAUCUCCAGCAUGCUCGGAGCAUAGGGCUGAAGGAUGAUAUAAGUUUUAGUAGUUAGAUAACCCAGAAAUUUGUAAAGUGUAAUUGACAUUUGAUGAUGAAUAAAAGGUGUUUUAUUUAUGAGUAAAGUGUUGCUAUCUCUUGUCGAUCGUUUACUAUAUUUCUUUUGCAUGUUUUGACUUCCAGAAUAAUUUUGUUUGGUAUAACAUAUUAUUCAAACCUCCACAGUCGGUCAUAUGUUGGAAGUAGAUAUGAAUCAAGACUGUCAUGUUUGGUUGUAGAGGUCUUGGACAAGGCUACAACAAUCAUGAGUGCUCAUAAGUUCUGAGCAUUGGACUCAACCCACGCUCACUGGAAUCACUUCAUGGAAUUCUAUCUCGAGUGAUCGUGAGACGGUAAUAUCAUAUAAGUCUUCAAACCUAGAGAUAUGAUUUGUUACUUACAAGUUGGUUAUGCAUUGACUGUACGAAACCGCAUUGGUAACUCGAUGUUAUAAAACGUACUUUUGUGUGUAAUUCAAUGAGUGGUAGAACAAACAUAUGAGUCGAAGUUUAUCUGUUCCUUCUUGGAUUAGAAGCUGAUAUCUGGGCCCCUCGAUGAUUUUGUUUUGACCCAUGUACCGGGCCCGGUCAGAACUAAGUUGAUGUGUUCAAUUAAGUUCUAUGUCAAACAAAUCGGAAAUCGGGAAACAAAUGCUGGACAAUAAGCAAGACAAUGUUCCAUGUAUUUGUCCGGCUGAUAUCUAGAACGGAGGAUUAUAUGAUCACUUAUCUUAAAUGGCGUACCAUCAUCUUCUCAGUUCCGAGAGACCUUGAAAGAGCUACGAUUGCCGGUCGGUUCCUGAAGUACUAGAGAUAUAGUUAUUAGACUUAUCCAAGUGGGAGACUGUUGGAUAAGGUGUCUAAGUCCAUAACUAUUUCGGGCUUGUACUUGACCCGACCCGGCAUGGUCCAUUUGGGUUGCAUGGCACCAUGCAAUUGGAUAGACUAAAUGAGAGAAAUAACACUUGGAGAUUAUUAAUAUAUUAUAAGUUCUAAUAUAUUAAUAAUAUUAUUUGAUUAGUUGAUCAAAGAAUUAAUUUGGAAUUAAUUAAGUGAUCAAAGGAUAACUAAUUAAAUAUAUGGGUUGAUUAUGUAAAUCAUCCAUAUCUUGUAUAGUGGGCUAAGAGGCUCCAUGGAUUAUCAAGUUGGGUUCUACCCAUAGGAUGCUCCAUGGAUGCUCCAUGGGAGUUACAAACCCAUGGGUCAUGGAAAUGAAGAGUCAUGACACAUUAGGGUUUACAUGGUGUAACCCUAGAUGUGCCAACACUAUAUAAGAGUCCCAUUCUCCACAAAAUUGGCUACACAAGUUGAACACUAAGAAACUAGAGGGCUUGGCCGAUUUUGAGAAGUGUGUGUUAUCUCAAGAGUCUUUCCAAGAGCAUUUGGUGUUGUGUGAAGCAUUUGAGGCAUCACACUUGGGGUGCUAGGCUCACAAGGUUUCAAGGAACACAAGCAACAACAAGGUAAGUUAUUCUAUCUAUGAUUCAAGUUAAAAUUGUUCCCCAUGUAUGCUAGAUAGGAAUAUAACCUUGGAAUUCAACUUUGCAUGAUAAUUAGACAAACAUAGAUCCAAGGUUAUUAGGGUUGCAUGUACACUUAGGAAGUGUUAGAAUGCUCAAAACCCAUCAGUGGUAUCAGAGCCUAGGCUUGUUUGUUUGUUAUUUGUGCUUAAAAGUUGAAGAAAGUCGAAAAUUCUGCUGUCUGACUGAUGGACUCGGCGAGUCCAUGGGGAGGACUCGUCGAGUUCAUGUGUAUCUUCAACCUACUCGGCGAGUAGGUUUAUGCACUCGGCGAGUAGGGUCGACAGAGUGCAGAAUUUCGACUUGAGUUGCUGGAAAUGGAUUAGAAUCAUUACCCUAAAAUGUUUUGGUACUUGAAAACUUAUUUUAGAAGGUGUAAUGUCUUUUCUAACUCAUUUACAACAACUAGUUAUCAAAAUUACAAAGAUUAAAUGUGAUUUUGAUUCUUGAAAGUGUUCAUAUUCAUAUUCUUGUUCUUAUGAUGUUUAGAUGAUCAUAGGAAUUAUUUGUAACCUAUGUGGUAGAUUAAUUCAUGAUCAUAAUGUGUUUUAAUGGAGUCCAUAACUUGUCCUCAAGUUAUGGAAAACCAAAAGUCUCUUGGAUUAAAAACCAUUAAAAGAACACAAGAGUUAGGAAAAAUGAAAAGUCCUCAUUUUAUUACUCUAUUAAACUCAUAAGUUACAAGAAAUGAAAAGUUUUGAAAGUUUACAAAACUUGCCCUCAAGUUUUGGAACAAGUAAAGUUAAGUUAAAACUUUAGUUCCAACCCCUAGAAUUUUAAAAGUUAAAAUUCAACCCUUAUACUUAUAUUAUUAUGAUUUAAUAAUUAUAUAUAUAUGUAUAAGAACAAAGUCGUCUUACCGCUAGUACGCCUCAUUCACGAAGCCGGUCUAUAAGGUGGGUAUAAGGUUGUUGCCUAUAAAAUGGUGACUUAAUGGGUGUCCACUCUCACCCACCGCUUGCUUGAUCGGUGGAGGGUCGUUAGCCGAACGGGUAAGACAAGGACUUAUUAAUUCUCAUUCAAAGUAUGAUGAAUAUUAUAAAGUAACUAAAUGUUUUAUUAAAUUCCCAAUCUUAGUUACUUUAGGAAAAAUGUGAAUAAGGUGCUAUUCCAUGAAAUUACACUUUACACUUUGAUUAAGUCGUUGGUGGAGCGUGUGUGGUUAACCGGCACACUAACUUGGACUUAACAAGGUAGGUAAAGGGUGACUUAGGGUUUAUUAUAGUAUCGAUGGAGCGUGUGUGGUUAACCGGCACAUCGAUUGAGUGAUAAACUUUAAGGGUACCAAGUGAUUUGCAUGGUUACUUCACACCUCGUUUUGUGAUCCUCGGUAUCCCAGUCACAAAACUUGGAGGGCACACUCGAGAUUGAAACAUGCCUUUGAAAAGUUCAUUGAAUCUCAAAGAAUCUAGGAAUUUCUAAGAACCAUUCAAAAACCUAAUACUAAAAUAUUGCGGUUUUCGUGGUGGAAAUUGGUGAAUCGUCAUUCACCUACCUUUCAAAUAUGAUAUAGCUUAGAUUACGGCAUACCUCUUCUAAGUUAUAUUAUAUUGUGAUUGGAUCCUAGCCUUAAUAUUACAUUUGGGUGUUUUAUUAAGGACUCUCUUAUAUCUAAACUAAUCUUGUCCUCUUUCCUUCAGAUGUCUUUCAACAAUGCUUCUGGCUCUAAUCCUAAUGGCUCCUUUACCCUUAUGAACUUGUGUGGGAAAGUCACCUUUGAUGGAUCCAACUUCAAUGAGUGGAUCAGAAACAUCAGGAUGAUUACCCGCUACGAGGACAAAGAAUAUGUCCUUGACAAGGAGCUUAAGGAGAUUGAUGAGUCCACUGCAACUCCUCAGGAGAUCGCUGAAUUUCGGGCACAUGAAAGGGAUGCUACGAAAGUGGCUUGCAUCAUGAUGGCCACGAUGACAGCGGAACUCCAAAAGUCUUAUGAGGAUUUCUACCCUUAUGACAUGCACCAAGAUUUGAUGGAAAGAUACCAUCAAAGUGCAAGACAAGAGAGGUAUGAAAUCAUCUGCUCCAUGAUAACAACCAUGAUGAAGGACGGGGAAUCCGUCACGAGCCACAUGCAGAAAAUGCAAAGGUAUGUGGAUCGUUUGCUGAAGCUUAAUGUGAACUUCCCGGAGGAUCUUGCAAUAGAUAUUAUUUUGCAUUCCUUACCAUCGUGCUAUGAUCAAUUCCGCAUGACAUAUCACAUGAACAAGGAAGAAGUCACCCUCAGCAAACUUCAGGGACUUCUCAAGACCGCAGAAUCAGGUCUUAAGGGGAAGUCGGUUGCUAUCACUCCUACUCAAAACUCUACUCCGGUUUUGGCAAUCGGGAAAAGUCGAGGGAGGAAGAGAAAGAGCUCUUCUAAGGGUACCAAGGCUCGGACCCUUGAUGGCUCUUCUUCAAGUGGAACCAAGAAAGGUUUCAUUACUCCUUCUUCUGACCCAAAAGAGGCUGAAUGCUUCUAUUGCCAUGAAAAAGCUCAUUGGAAGCGGAACUGCCCAAAAUACCAGCAAGAUGUGAAGGAUGGGAAAGUUAAACCCAACCAUGCAGGUAUUUACACUAUCAUUUCUAAUAACUCACCCCAUUCUAAUUCUUGGGUCCUUGAUACCGGGUGUGGUAUUCACAUUUGUUGUGACUUGCAGGGACUAAGAAGAAGUGAGGAUGUGGAGCAAGGAAGGAUAAACUUGAUCAUGGGGAAUAGGAAAGCUAUACCUGUUACCAAGAUUGGAGUUUAUACUUUAUCGCUAAGUAGUGGGUUUAGUUUAGAUUUGAAUAAGUGUUGUUAUUCGCCAGGAAUGGCAAGAAAUAUUAUUUCCUUUCAUGCUUUGUACAAACAAGGGUUUACCUUUUCAUUUAAUAAUGAAGUUGGUUCUAUAGAUGUUUUCUAUAAUAAUGUUUUUUAUUUUAAAGCAUUACCUUGUGAUGGUGUGUAUGAAGCUGUAUCUGUUGUAGAUAACUUAGGAAAUAAUGUUUUGUGUAUUGAUUCUACUAAUAAUAAUAACUUGGAUAAAGCAUCAUUAUGGCAUUGUCGUCUUGGACAUAUAAGCAAGAAACGCAUAGGCCAACUCCAAAAGGAUGGAGUCUUGGAGUCGUUUGACCUAAAGUCAGAUGAUAGUUGCGAAUCAUGCUUACUUGGAAAAAUGACAAAGUCACCCUUCACAGGUUCGUGUGAGAGGGGUGAAGGUUUGUUGGACCUUAUACACACGGAUGUGUGUGGACCAUUCAAACAUGCCACAAGGGAUGCUAAUCGUUAUUAUUUGACUUUUACUGAUGAUUACAGUAGAUAUGGAUAUGUCUACUUAAUCAAGCAUAAGUCAGAGACUUUCGAGAGGUUUAAGGAAUUUAAACAGGAAGUCGAGAAUCAAUUGGGCAGGAACAUUAAGAUGCUUCGAUCCGAUCGAGGAGGUGAGUAUCUUAGUUCAGAGUUCCUCGACUAUCUUAGGGAAUGUGGGAUUGUCUCACAAUUGACACCUCCCAGGACACCACAGUUGAAUGGUGUGGCUGAGAGGCGUAAUCGAACCUUGUUGGAUAUGGUUCGUUCCAUGAUGAGUCGAGCUACGCUACCAAUCUCAUUCUGGGGGUAUGCCUUAGAGACUGCCGCCCAUAUUCUUAAUCUUGUCCCUACAAAGAAAGUUGCCAAAACUCCUCACGAGAUGUGGACUGGUAAAGUACCUAAGCUAGACCACAUCAAGAUUUGGGGUUGCGAGGCUUUCGUGAGACGCGAGACUCAUGAUAAGCUCGAACCUCGAAGCGAGAGGUGUAUUUUCAUCGGCUACCCACAGCAAUCCUUUGGUUACCUCUUCUACAGACCUAGUGACAAUGUGGUCUUUGUAGCAAGAAGAGGAGUCUUUCGAGAGAGAGAAUUUAUAAGCCAAGGAGACAGUGGGAGGCAAAUUGAUCUUGAAGAAAUUCAAGAAUCAAGCGGUGAAGGAACUUCAAACACUAGCCCUCAACUUGAGGAGGAAACUCCUGUUGAGCCAGUUGAUGAGCCUGUACCUCUGAGGCGUUCCACGAGAGUUAGGAAUGCACCUGAGCAUUACUAUGGUUUCCAUAUUACUGCGGAAGGUGAGACACUUAUUAGUGAUGAGACACUAGUAGGUCUGGAUGAACCUAACAGCUACAUGGAAGCCAUGGCAGGCCCUGAGGCUGCUAAAUGGAAAGAGGCCAUGGAUAGCGAGAUACAAUCCAUGUAUGACAAUCAAGUUUGGAACUUGGUUGAGAAUGUACCUGGUCGUAAGACUGUAGGGUGCAAGUGGGUCUUCAAGAAGAAGACCGACAUGGAUGGUAAAGUACACACUUAUAAGGCGAGACUGGUUGCAAAGGGCUUCUCUCAAAUUCCUGGAGUGGACUAUGAUGAGACCUUUUCUCCAGUAGCCAAGAUUAAGUCUAUUCGGGUUCUGUUAGCCAUAGCUGCAUUUCAUGACUAUGAAAUAUGGCAAAUGGAUGUCAAAACCGCUUUCCUUAAUGGAAAGUUGGCUGAAGAUGUUUACAUGAGUCAGCCAGAGGGUUUUGUCAGCAACGAGUACCCUAAUAGAGUGUGUAAGCUCGAGAAAUCCAUUUAUGGAUUGAAACAGGCACCUCGCAGGUGGAAUCUUUGCUUUGAUGAGAAAGUCAAGGAAUUUGGCUUUUCAAGGAGUGAAGAUGAAUCUUGCGUCUAUAUCAAGGCUAGUGGGAGCAUAGUCAGUUUUUUGGUACUGUAUGUGGAUGACAUACUACUCAUAGGAAAUGACAUCCCAACCCUGCAGGAAGUAAAGUCCUGGCUUGGGAAGUGUUUCGCUAUGAAGGACCUUGGUGAAGCUGCCUAUAUCCUAGGGAUAAAGAUUUUGAGAAACAGGAGUAAAAGACUAAUUGGACUUAGUCAAAGUACCUACUUGGAC
This 8530-nucleotide long non-coding RNA is filed under the name Lactuca sativa (garden lettuce). RNAcentral's name for it is "long non-coding RNA (LSAT_LNC009025)". The record is from RNAcentral. Lineage: Eukaryota; Viridiplantae; Streptophyta; Magnoliopsida; Asterales; Asteraceae.